UGUGACCUCAAAUCAGGUAGGACUACCCGCUGAACUUAAGCAUAUCAAUAAGCGGAGGAAAAGAAACUAACAAGGAUUCCCCUAGUAACUGCGAGUGAAGCGGGAAAAGCUCAAAUUUAAAAUCUGGCGGUCUUUUGGCUGUCCGAGUUGUAAUCUAGAGAAGUGUUAUCCGCGCUGGACCGUGUACAAGUCUCCUGGAAUGGAGCAUCAUAGAGGGUGAGAAUCCCGUCUUUGACAUGGACUGCCAGGGCUUUGUGAUGCGCUCUCAAAGAGUCGAGUUGUUUGGGAAUGCAGCUCAAAAUGGGUGGUAAAUUCCAUCUAAAGCUAAAUAUUGGCGAGAGACCGAUAGCGAACAAGUACCGUGAGGGAAAGAUGAAAAGAACUUUGGAAAGAGAGUUAAACAGUACGUGAAAUUGCUGAAAGGGAAACGCUUGAAGUCAGUCGCGUUGUCCAGGGAUCAACCUUGCUUUUGCUUGGUGCACUUCCUGGUUCGACGGGUCAGCAUCAAUUUUGAUCGUUGGAAAAAGGCCAAGGGAAUGUGGCAUCUUCGGAUGUGUUAUAGCCCUUUGUCACAUACAAUGGUUGGGAU
Molecule: ribosomal RNA, 589 nt
Filed under: Cortinarius rigens
Lineage: Eukaryota; Fungi; Basidiomycota; Agaricomycetes; Agaricales; Cortinariaceae
Description: eukaryotic LSU rRNA
Rfam family: Eukaryotic large subunit ribosomal RNA
Source: RNAcentral